UGGGGAAUAUUGCGCAAUGGGGGCAACCCUGACGCAGCAAUGCCGCGUGCGGGAUGACGGCCUUCGGGUUGUAAACCGCUUUCAGCAGGGAAGAUAGUGACGGUACCUGCACAAGAAGCCCCGGCUAACUACGUGCCAGCAGCCGCGGUAACACGUAGGGGGCGAGCGUUAUCCGGAUUCAUUGGGCGUAAAGCGCGCGCAGGCGGCCGCCUAAGCGGGACCUCUAAUCCUGGGGCUCAACCUCAGGCCGGGUCCCGAACUGGGCGGCUCGGGUGCGGUAGGGGUAGGCGGAAUUCCCGGUGUAGCGGUGGAAUGCGCAGAUAUCGGGAAGAACACCGACGGCGAAGGCAGCCUACUGGGCCGUCACCGACGCUGAGGCGCGAAAGCUAGGGGAGCGAACAGG
Molecule: ribosomal RNA, 403 nt
Filed under: uncultured bacterium
Lineage: Bacteria
Description: bacterial SSU rRNA
Rfam family: Bacterial small subunit ribosomal RNA
Source: RNAcentral